This 253-nucleotide ribosomal RNA is filed under the name uncultured bacterium. RNAcentral's name for it is "partial 16S ribosomal RNA". It matches the Rfam family "Bacterial small subunit ribosomal RNA", at positions 524 to 776 of the family's 1533-position model. The record is from RNAcentral.
UACAGAGGUGCCGAGCGUUAGGCGGAAUCACUGGGCUUAAAGCGUGUGUAGGCGGAUUGGUAAGUACCUUGUGAAAUCCCACGGCUCAACCGUGGAACUGCUGGGUAUACUGCCUGUCUUGAGCCAACUAGGGGCAGCCGGAACAGACGGUGGAGCGGUGAAAUGCGUAGAUAUCGUCUGGAACGCCAAAGGUGAAAACAGGCUGCUGGGGUUGUGCUGACGCUGAGACACGAAAGCCAGGGGAGCAAACGGG